RNAcentral lists this ribosomal RNA (486 nucleotides) under Pedobacter sp. CL4.64. Its description in RNAcentral is "bacterial SSU rRNA". It matches the Rfam family "Bacterial small subunit ribosomal RNA", at positions 17 to 502 of the family's 1533-position model. Lineage: Bacteria; Pseudomonadati; Bacteroidota; Sphingobacteriia; Sphingobacteriales; Sphingobacteriaceae. The record is from RNAcentral.
CCCUGGCUCAGGAUGAACGCUAGCGGCAGGCCUAAUACAUGCAAGUCGAGGGGUAGAGUUAGCUUGCUAACUUGAGACCGGCGCACGGGUGCGUAACGCGUAUGCAAUCUACCUUUAUCUGGGGGAUAGCCCGAAGAAAUUCGGAUUAACACCGCAUAAAAUCACAGUACGGCAUCGUACAAUGAUCAAAUAUUUAUAGGAUAGAGAUGAGCAUGCGUGUCAUUAGUUAGUUGGCGGGGUAACGGCCCACCAAGACCACGAUGACUAGGGGAUCUGAGAGGAUGACCCCCCACACUGGUACUGAGACACGGACCAGACUCCUACGGGAGGCAGCAGUAAGGAAUAUUGGUCAAUGGAGGCAACUCUGAACCAGCCAUGCCGCGUGCAGGAAGACGGCCCUCUGGGUUGUAAACUGCUUUUAUUCGGGAAUAAACCUACUUACGUGUAAGUAGCUGAAUGUACCGAAGGAAUAAGGAUUCGGCAACU